RNAcentral lists this non-coding RNA (31 nucleotides) under Rattus norvegicus (Norway rat). The record is from RNAcentral. Lineage: Eukaryota; Metazoa; Chordata; Mammalia; Rodentia; Muridae.
AGUGAGAUAGAAGAUUAAGCAACCUUGCAGC